Molecule: ribozyme, 73 nt
Filed under: unclassified sequences
Description: HDV ribozyme from F. prausnitzii
Rfam family: HDV ribozyme from F. prausnitzii
Source: RNAcentral
GCUGCUCUGAUAAUCACACACCUCUCCGUGGUGGGCAGCAGGCAACGGUCUUAUGGCCGGCGAAGAUGUGAAA